AUGUCUUUAGUAUAAUUUGUAUAGCAAAUUUAGGUUUUGUAGGUAUUUUGACAUA
RNAcentral lists this transfer RNA (55 nucleotides) under Setaria digitata. RNAcentral describes it as "tRNA-Leu". Lineage: Eukaryota; Metazoa; Nematoda; Chromadorea; Rhabditida; Setariidae. The record is from RNAcentral.